AAAAAAUUGCUGCAUGAGUAAAGGAAAAAAGAUAGCAGGUUGAAUAUUGCAAAGAAAUUCAAAUGAUAUCCACAUAUCUUUUUGUUCUGAAAUAAUAAAAAUAGGAUGCCUCAGAGAAUGCAGAUCCCAUAACUAAUCCUAUUAUAAACCACUUGCAGAUCUAAACAAACUAUAAAUAAGCAAGAAACAAAGGGCCAUAUCUAAUCCUAUUAUAAACCCACUUGCAAAUCUAACCAAACUAUAAGUACCAGCAAGCGGUACACUGACAGCCACAUUUCCUGAUGACAUGUUUUGAC
Molecule: long non-coding RNA, 296 nt
Filed under: Medicago truncatula (barrel medic)
Lineage: Eukaryota; Viridiplantae; Streptophyta; Magnoliopsida; Fabales; Fabaceae
Description: long non-coding RNA (MTRU_LNC006470)
Source: RNAcentral